Molecule: long non-coding RNA, 1208 nt
Organism: Gallus gallus (chicken)
Lineage: Eukaryota; Metazoa; Chordata; Aves; Galliformes; Phasianidae
Source: Ensembl
ACAGCACAAUAAUCCACAGCCCGCUUUAUGGAGGUCACCAACAUUGUUCUCUGGGGUUGAGUAAUUCUGGAGACUUCGGCUGAUUGAGAGUAGAAAAUGGUUUAUGAGGAGCAGCUGGGGGAACUGGGGUGGUCUAAUCUGGAGAAGGCUCAGAGGAGGCCUUAUCACUUCUAUAACCACCUGAAAGGAGGCUGCAGCCAGGAGGAGUCAGCCUCUUUUCUCAGGUAAUGGUGAUAGGACAAGUGGUAUGGCCUGAAGUUGUACCAGGGGAGGUUUACACUGGAUAUCAGGAAGAUAUACAGAAAUUCUGUAUAGAGUGGGUGGUCAAGUCUUGGAGUGUUCUGUCGAGGGAAGUGAAGGAGGUUCCAUCUCUGGAGGUUUGGCUGUGGAUUCAGCUCUCAGAAGAAAGGCUGUCUGCAGGAGUCCUGGCGUCCCUUGGCAGCAUUGACAGUGAGACCCUCCCCCACUCUGCUUUCUACAGUGCUCAACAAGGUGAAGUGGAAGGUGUACACAUGUCAGAUGGCUCCCAGAAGUCUCCCACACUGCUAUAUGAAUUCUUACACUCAGAAGCAACAUCUGAGGAAAUGAGCUUGGGAAACCUGAGUGAAGUGAUUGCACUAAGCAGCAGGAAAGGGGAAUGCUGAGGUCUCAGAGAUGAAACAUCCCAGCAGCCCAUCUCUUCUCAGGCAGACUGCACAUGUAAAGUUACUUAGUCACGUGGUCAGCAGUGCUGUCCCACCCAGGUAUUGAGAAACUUUGGAUUUACCUACCCUCCACAAUCACAGGUAUGAUACAAAACUCUGAGAUUUAAAAUUUUCUAUACAUUUCUGUUUGUUUUUAGUCACUUUUCUUAUUUUUAUAUCCAAGCUUUCAUCAUUCAUUUCAGUAUACUGAAGCCAGUGCCCACCAGUCCUUGGGUUCUCUCUUUUCCUGUUUUAAAGAGGAAUGUGGCACAUGGUAUUUUGUCUUCUUCCUGGCUUCAAAGUUUCUCCCACCUGUCAUGGAUGGAGCCUCAGAAACAACCACAAGCACCUGUAUUAGAGCCUCAGCCAUCUCCUUUGGUGGCUCCAGAAUGCCUUUCCCUAGGCAUUCUAACCUGCCAGGUCUAACCUGCCUGCUUUUACCUCUGCCAGUGUGCUAAUUGUGUUAGCCACUUGACUGUAGUUCAUCUUUUGACUAUUGUAUAAGAGUAAUAUAAUAAAAUGGCA